UACGUAGGGGGCAAGCGUUGUCCGGAAUCAUUGGGCGUAAAGCGCGUGUAGGCGGCCAGAAAAGUCCGCUGUGAAAACUCGAGGCUCAACUUCGAGCUGUCGGCGGAAACUUUCUGGCUAGAGUCCGGAAGAGGAGAAUGGAAUUCCUGGUGUAGCGGUGAAAUGCGCAGAUAUCAGGAAGAACACCCGUGGCGAAGGCGGCUCUCUGGAACGCAACUGACGCUGAGGCGCGAAAGCGUGGGGAGCAAACAGG
RNAcentral lists this ribosomal RNA (253 nucleotides) under uncultured bacterium. Its description in RNAcentral is "partial 16S ribosomal RNA". It matches the Rfam family "Bacterial small subunit ribosomal RNA", at positions 524 to 776 of the family's 1533-position model. The record is from RNAcentral.